Molecule: long non-coding RNA, 1696 nt
Filed under: Helianthus annuus (common sunflower)
Lineage: Eukaryota; Viridiplantae; Streptophyta; Magnoliopsida; Asterales; Asteraceae
Description: hypothetical non coding rna
Source: RNAcentral
GUAGAAAUGCUUUAACCUAGUCUAUAGUUUUAGAGCUUUAUUUUUGUGUUUUGCUUGAAACUACAUUGCAUGCUACUUUAUUUGCCUUUAUUCAUUCUCUUUUAAUCUUUUAAGCAUAUAUGUCCCUUAUUUGUUAACACUUGACAUGCUACACUUGUCUUAUUACGUGCUAAUACUUGUUUCCUCGUUUUAUCCUUUAUGUGUCGUUCUUGACAUACUUUUUAUGUGUUAAUAAUUGUUUCAUUAUUCCAUUCCUUAUGAGCUAUUCUUGACAUGUUUAUACUUGUUCGUCUAAUCUUUAACAUACACUUUUCCUCAUACAUUUUACUCGAUUAAUCUAAAUCCGACAACACUCAUAUUGUACAAAAGAGACGAGUUUACCAAAAUAGGCGUGAAACCCACAAUUUGGUAAACAACUCUCAUCCCGCUUGAUUUCAUUUUUUGCACGAAAUUACACCAUUAAGUUAGGAGUGAAAUCCACAUCUUAAUGGAAAUUUCACAUUUCAAAUUUCAAUUUCUAGUGGACCCUCGUCAAAGUGUCGAAAUUAACUUUUGACCCGACGAGUACCAACCACACUUAGGGUACGAAAUCGUCAAGUUAGGGGUGAAACCUGCACCUUGUCGACUAGUUCCACUCCUUGAUUUUUUUUUUCAUAAUUCCCGCCAAGUCUUGAAAUUUCGAUUGAUUUGGGACAUGUAGUAACCGGAAGGGUAAAUACCGUUAACCGACUUGUCGGCGAGAGUAUUUCACCUAUUAGGCCAAAGCAUGCUCCUUAAAUUCGAAAGACUUUUCGACCACUUUGGUUAGUCAAAGUUCCAUUUUGGAACCAUCCAAAUUUUGAUCAAACAUGUGUUUCUGUUAAUUAUUUUAUACGAUGCAAUCUUUCAAAUUCGAAUUUACUUUCGAUAUUUUCUUCUCACACACACAACAUAUUGAACCUUUUUCCAUACACUAAUACAUAUGCAUGAUUUCAUAUGAUUUAAAUUCAUUUUCCUUGUAACGACAAGUGGAGAAAAAUCAUCAAGAUGGGAGUGAUUUCCUUACCUUGACGACUAACUCCGUUUCUUUUCUCACCUUACAACGACCUCACCAACGAGUUAGGGGUGAUUCCCUUAUUUAGGUGAUCGUUACCAAGACUUAAUUUUAAUAGACUUUAUUAUGUACACACUAUCACGAUUAUACCCAAAAUGAUUAUUAACCUACUUCUUAUCCUACAGUCUAUUUUCACAUUCUCUGACAUCCACGAAAUUCUUAACAUUAUCGUAAACGCUCAUUUCUUGAUUUUCAGAAUUUCAUGAAAUGCUACUUAUCAAUUUAGCCGGCCAAAUAAAUCCAUUACCCACAAAAUUUCGUAUUCCACGUAAUCACUAAAACACAUUAUCUCGCAUCAUUAUACUAAAGAUCGUUAUUUUUCAAUUGAGAAUCAAGCCACCUUUUCAUACAAACUAUUACAAAUACUAUUCGAUCGUUGGCCAAAACUAUUUUCAAAAUCAACAAAGUAUUUUAUUGAGAAUACUUUUCACGAUCACUAAGCUCAUAUACCAAAUUUCUUUUCUAAGGAUCAACGUUUUCACCAUAACCUCUAAACUUCGAAUUUCUUCAUUAAUGAAAAGUUAUUUAAAACUUCUAGAACCUUUUCAAACAUUGCUCGAUACGUCAAAUGAAUUUAAAACAUGUGGGCAAGGAAACUCCAUA